This is a long non-coding RNA of Micropterus dolomieu (smallmouth bass), 3343 nucleotides long. RefSeq lists it as uncharacterized. The transcript is spliced from 6 exons. The record is from RefSeq and is a predicted model, not a curated record. NCBI's taxonomy places the organism in Eukaryota, Metazoa, Chordata, Actinopteri, Centrarchiformes, Centrarchidae.
CCACAACACAAAGCUGGAUGUGCCCUCUCAAACUUUUUCCACGACGCACGGCGACGCGCGCAGAACAAACCAUCCACAGUUCUGUCCUUAGGUGGAUUUUAACACCAGAUUAACCAGCAAAGCGCUUUCUCCUGUGGGAGGUUACGGAAGUAAAAAAUAUGUGGAAAUCACAUGGAAGAUGUACAGAGGCACCUAUCAAGCUGCUUUUAAGACGCAGAGGAGGAUUAAGAGACUGUGCAAUUUUCUUUUGGAGAAGGUGAAGUCUCAUCUCUUAAGGAUUUAAACUUCAGCAGCAGCAGCAGUGCCAAGCGGUAUGCGUUUUAGGCACACUUGGAAAUCUAAAACUCAUGAAGACACUUUGAGGAUUAUAAAAAAUAUCUAGUAUGUCUCUCUCCACAAGAUGCGUCCCAGCCCAAAGUCACUGGGAUAGCAGGAUAUUGCAUUUAUGAUCCUCCUCGGCCCUCCGCAUGGGGAGUGUGGGAGUGGUGAGGUCUGGGAGAUCACGACCUUAAUUCUCUCCAAGACAGACGGUUUAAUUAACACUGGAGGAAUCCUCACUGGCUCCAGACCUCUACAAUGGGAAAGUACAGGGGAACUGGAUUGUCAAGGCUCCCUUCUCUGUAGUUCACGUUGAAUCAAGACCACCUCACAGGGAUUUUCCCCUUCACCAGGUGUGGCAGUCAGAGUAAGAGGGGAAGAUCAACUUGUCUAGACAUGACUGUGAGGAUCUGCAAAGAAACCUGUGUGAAAACAGUAAAGGAAAAUGAAGAUCAAGAGGAAAACAGCUAGAUGGAGAGAAAACAUCAGAGCAGGGAGGGGAGAUCAAUUUAAUUUAGUUAAAUUAUGUAUAUUUGUCGCAUAAAAGGUAACAGCUAAGUGUUUGUCAUCUCUGUUGUGAUAUGAGUUUGGGAUAUGCAAUGUUAGAAAAACAUUAUGCAUUGAUGUUAUUUUGUAUGUGUUGUAUAGUGAAAAUCCUAACAAGUAUUGCCGGCAAGUUUUGUUUAUGUUGUUUUAAAAAACAAUCCGAGGAAGUGUUGUCAUAUUUCAGUGGUUCUCAAUGGGGUCAAGGGAUCCUUCAGCGGGUUCCAGGAGGUCCCCAGCAAAAAAGGGGAAUCAUUUAUUUUCAAAAUAUUUCCAUAAUAUAAGUUACACAAUGACAGAAUGUAUGGCUGUUUUAGUCACGGGUUUCAUGCAGUUUCUGUAAUUUAACAUCUAAAAGCAAAAAUCCUAUCAGAUGGGGGACCCUGGGACAAAAUCAGAUGGGGGUCAUUGAUGGAAUUUGUGUCAGUUUAGACGUUCCUGAUGUGAAAACGUUUGAGAACCACUGUUACGUAUGUGCUAUUCUCUUUUUGUUCCACAAUACUGUAAAUGCAUGUUUUAAAGCACGUAACUUUGUAGAUUUGAGAGUAAAUGUGGUCAGAAAAACAGUUUUGACAAUCCUUGUGUCUGGUGCAAUAACAUGUUCAUGUAUGUGCACUGUAUCUGUUAAGAAGCAAUGAUCCCAGUAUGGUCACAGGGGAACAAAGGGACAUGUACUCAUACAAUAUGUAAGGGUAUGUGGAGAAAUAUUCCCUGACUAUAGUGCUCUCAUGUGACAAUAUAUGUACAGUGUUUCACUUUUAUCAUCUCAACAUAGAUUAUUAAUGAAUAUUGUACUGUCCUAUGAAACAUCUAGAUAAUAUAAUGUUGAAAAAAAUAAUGUUAAUAGUUACUCUAAAGAAAACUAUACUUGUCUAAUGAGAAUCUAGCAGUGCAGCAGUUGUGCAUUGUGCAGAGUACCUCUUCCUUUGCAACAUCAAGAGAAGGAGACAAUUGCUUUCUCUUCCACUUCUGUGCUGUAAAGCACUGUAAGUAGCUUAGAGCUGUGUUGCUUGCUGCAGGGUGCGGUGGUACGAUGGUGGUACCUUACUUCUACCCACCAUUUCUGACUUUGGCUCUUAAAAAAACAUUGCAUCAUAGAUACAAUGGUGUUUUAAAUUCUAAAGUAAAUGGCUUUUCUAGCCUCCUUUAGACAAAAUGUUUGUGGUUACAUCCUUUAUCUUUACAAGUUCAGUUUGACAUGUAAUGAUAGAAACCACCUUUCAACCAUAAUGAUAGGUGUACUUUACCUACCAUCUAAGUCAUAUACAAUUAUGUGGCUUUCUUUUUACUUUACAGUCGACACGGACUUUCUUCUCCUCUAAAAAUUCCAUUCAUCCAUCCAUCGUCAACCGCUUAUCCUGCGCACAGGGUCGCAGGGGGCUAGAGCCAAUCCCAUCUUACAUUGGGCGAAAGGCGGGUAACACCCUAGACAGGUCGCCAGUCCAUCACAGGGCCACAGACAGACAAACAACCACUCACAUCCACACCUAAGGUCAAUUUUGGAGACACUAAAAGCAUGCUGCAUGUCUUUGUAUGGUGGGAGGAAACCAGAUGCACCUGGAGAGAACCCACACAGACAUGGGGAGAACAUGCAAACUCCACACAGAAAGGCUGGGGCAACCAGGGUUUGAACCCAUGACCUUCUUGCUGUGUGGCAAUAGUGCUAACCACUGCAACACCACACCGCCCCCUCUAGAUAUUGUUAUAUUUUAAUUAAUGACCUGACAUAGGCUAACAAAAACCAUGCUAAGAGGCUACAGCUACACUAGUGGCUCUGUAGCGUUAGGCAUGCUUUGAAGAUGUUUUUGAGCUAAAUGCUAACAUCAGCAAGCUAACAUAUUUUUACUGGCAAUACUAAAAUGCUAAUGUCAUCCAGCCAUCAACUGUCGAGACACUUCACUAUAACCCUAAAAUAUAAAUAUGUGGCAGAAGUGGAAAAGUCUGGGGUUUACCAAGGUCACUAGGUGAAUGUUUUGAAUGUUUUAACCAGUCAUUCAUGUGAGAUUUUCUUUCUGUAAAUAAGAUAACAUAUUUUCAGCAAGUGUUGAAAAUCCAAAAUAACAGAGCUGGGUUAGCCCUAUUACACCCCUCAGUGAACAGUUUUGAGGCCUCCCUAUCUGCCUCCCUCCAUCUUUGUCUGUGGUUACUAACCCCAGCUACAGUGGUCAGAAAUGGGCCCCCCAUGUUUUCCAUGGACAGUUUAUCACACUUCCUUCCACACUUCUGGGCCCCCAGUCAGUCCGCCAGACAGGAAAAUCAAAGACUGUGGGACAUACCAUUACAGUGCAAAUGGUAUAUUGCACUGUACAACAUGUUGAUGAUAUAUAACCUUAAAGUCUCACAAGUAAAUACAGGAAUGAGGUCUGAGCUGAGUUUAGCUUUAAAUGUUUGAAUUGCAUAUUGAAUUGAUUGAAAGUGAUUUAAAAUCAUCCUACACAUUGAAUGGUAUGGCAAAAUUAUUUAAUUUGAAUGUCUGUGAAUG